This 560-nucleotide ribosomal RNA is filed under the name Acinetobacter johnsonii. RNAcentral describes it as "bacterial SSU rRNA". It matches the Rfam family "Bacterial small subunit ribosomal RNA", at positions 82 to 637 of the family's 1533-position model. Lineage: Bacteria; Pseudomonadati; Pseudomonadota; Gammaproteobacteria; Moraxellales; Moraxellaceae. The record is from RNAcentral.
GCUACCUGACCUAGCGGCGGACGGGUGAGUAAUGCUUAGGAAUCUGCCUAUUAGUGGGGGACAACAUUCCGAAAGGAAUGCUAAUACCGCAUACGCCCUACGGGGGAAAGCAGGGGAUCUUCGGACCUUGCGCUAAUAGAUGAGCCUAAGUCAGAUUAGCUAGUUGGUGGGGUAAAGGCCUACCAAGGCGACGAUCUGUAGCGGGUCUGAGAGGAUGAUCCGCCACACUGGGACUGAGACACGGCCCAGACUCCUACGGGAGGCAGCAGUGGGGAAUAUUGGACAAUGGGCGAAAGCCUGAUCCAGCCAUGCCGCGUGUGUGAAGAAGGCCUUUUGGUUGUAAAGCACUUUAAGCGAGGAGGAGGCUACUUGGAUUAAUACUCUAGGAUAGUGGACGUUACUCGCAGAAUAAGCACCGGCUAACUCUGUGCCAGCAGCCGCGGUAAUACAGAGGGUGCGAGCGUUAAUCGGAUUUACUGGGCGUAAAGCGUGCGUAGGCGGCUUUUUAAGUCGGAUGUGAAAUCCCUGAGCUUAACUUAGGAAUUGCAUUCGAUACUGGG